AGCCUCGUAGCUUAGUUGGAUAGAGCACUCGCCUUCUACGAAGUUCGCUCCGGGAGUGAGCGAGAGGUCGCGGGUUCGAAACCCGCCGGGGCUG
RNAcentral lists this transfer RNA (94 nucleotides) under bacterium. RNAcentral describes it as "tRNA-Arg". It matches the Rfam family "tRNA". From Rfam's summary of the family: Transfer RNA (tRNA) molecules are approximately 80 nucleotides in length. Their secondary structure includes four short double-helical elements and three loops (D, anti-codon, and T loops). The record is from RNAcentral.